GGCAAGAUGGCCGAGCGGUCUAAGGCGCCGCACUCAAGAGUAACAUCUUUCCGAGCAAUCGGAGUCCAUUGCGGUCUCGCAAGAGGCGGGGGUUCGAAUCCCCCUCUUGUCA
Mycena vitilis is the source of this 112-nucleotide non-coding RNA. The record is from the annotation of a GenBank genome assembly. Lineage: Eukaryota; Fungi; Basidiomycota; Agaricomycetes; Agaricales; Mycenaceae.